Molecule: ribosomal RNA, 403 nt
Filed under: Verrucomicrobiota bacterium
Lineage: Bacteria; Pseudomonadati; Verrucomicrobiota
Description: Verrucomicrobia bacterium partial 16S ribosomal RNA
Rfam family: Bacterial small subunit ribosomal RNA
Source: RNAcentral
UGGGGAAUAUUGCACAAUGGGGGAAACCCUGAUGCAGCGACGCCGCGUGAGCGAAGAAGGCUUUCGAGUCGUAAAGCUCUGUCCUAUGAGAAGAUAAUGACGGUAUCAUAGGAGGAAGCCCUGGCUAAAUACGUGCCAGCAGCCGCGGUAAUACGUAUGGGGCGAGCGUUGUCCGGAAUUAUUGGGCGUAAAGGGUACGUAGGUGGUUUUUUAAGUCAGGUGUCAAAGCGUGGAGCUUAACUCCAUUAAGCACUUGAAACUGAAAGACUUGAGUGAAGGAGAGGAAAGUGGAAUUCCUAGUGUAGCGGUGAAAUGCGUAGAUAUUAGGAGGAAUACCGGUGGCGAAGGCGACUUUCUGGACUUUUACUGACGCUGAGGCACGAAAGCGUGGGUAGCAAACAGG